Molecule: unclassified non-coding RNA, 336 nt
Filed under: soil metagenome
Description: partial contains 5.8S ribosomal RNA, internal transcribed spacer 2, and large subunit ribosomal RNA
Rfam family: 5.8S ribosomal RNA (bases 1-120)
Source: RNAcentral
GAUGAAGAACGCAGCGAAAUGCGAUAAGUAAUGUGAAUUGCAGAAUUCAGUGAAUCAUCGAAUCUUUGAACGCACAUUGCGCCCUUUGGUAUUCCUUAGGGCAUGCCUGUUCGAGCGUCAUUUGAAACCUCAAGCUCAGCUUGGUGUUGGGUGUCUGUCCCCGCCUCCGCGGGGACUCGCCUCAAAAUCAUUGGCGGCCGGUACGUUGGCUUCGAGCGCAGCAGAAACGCGAACUCGAGGCCCGGCGGAUCGGCGACCAGAAGUCUCUUCUUCACAGUUUGACCUCGGAUCAGGUAGGGAUACCCGCUGAACUUAAGCAUAUCAAUAAGCGGAGGA